RNAcentral lists this ribosomal RNA (253 nucleotides) under uncultured bacterium. RNAcentral describes it as "partial 16S ribosomal RNA". It matches the Rfam family "Bacterial small subunit ribosomal RNA", at positions 524 to 776 of the family's 1533-position model. The record is from RNAcentral.
UACGUAGGGUGCAGGCGUUAAUCGGAAUUACUGGGCGUAAAGCGUGCGCAGGCGGUUUUUUAAGUCAGAUGUGAAAUCCCCGGGCUUAACCUGGGAACUGCGUUUGAAACUGGAAAGCUUGAGUGCGGCAGAGGGGGGUGGAAUUCCACGUGUAGCAGUGAAAUGCGUAGAGAUGUGGAGGAACACCGAUGGCGAAGGCAGCCCCCUGGGUCGACACUGACGCUCAUGCACGAAAGCGUGGGGAGCAAACAGG